AACGAACGCUGGCGGCAUGCCUAACACAUGCAAGUCGAACGAGACCUUCGGGUCUAGUGGCGCACGGGUGCGUCACGCGUGGGAACCUGCCCUUAGGUUCGGAAUACCUCCCCGAAAGGGGUGCUAAUACCGGAUAAUGUCUUCGGACCAAAGAUUUAUCGCCUUUGGAUGGGCCCGCGUUGUAUUAGCUAGUUGGUAGUGUAAAAGCCUACCACGGCGACGAUCCUUAGCUGGUCUGAGAGGAUGAGCAGCCACACUGGGACAGAGACACGGCCGAGACUCCUACGGGAGGGAGCAGUGGGGAAUAUUGGAAAAGGGGCGAAAGCCUGAUCCAGCAAGGCCGCGUGAGUGAUGAAGGCGGUAGGGUAGUAAAGCUCUUUUACCCGGGAUGAUAAUGACGGUACCGGGAGAAUAAGCACCGGCUAACUCCGUG
This 433-nucleotide ribosomal RNA is filed under the name uncultured bacterium. RNAcentral's name for it is "partial 16S ribosomal RNA". It matches the Rfam family "Bacterial small subunit ribosomal RNA", at positions 29 to 507 of the family's 1533-position model. The record is from RNAcentral.